GCAUCCAUGUGAGACGUGGAAAGGCACCGCCGGCCUUGGCAAGUAAACCCACGAAGGAGCUGCAGCCGGGACUACAACCGGACCAGCAGGAGCCAAGAGAUGAGGCGGUGGGGCAAAGGCUGAGAUCAUGGGGUUUCUACCGAAGGAUACUGCAGCUGCGGCUGCGUUUCGGGUAGCUUGCAUUUGGGCUCUCUUGAGUUGCUGUCUUUCUUUCUUAUGUGCGUUCUGGUGGCCACCGAGUGCUUGUGAAUUGGCGAAUUC
Molecule: unclassified non-coding RNA, 261 nt
Filed under: Hevea brasiliensis (rubber tree)
Lineage: Eukaryota; Viridiplantae; Streptophyta; Magnoliopsida; Malpighiales; Euphorbiaceae
Source: RNAcentral